RNAcentral lists this ribosomal RNA (497 nucleotides) under uncultured bacterium. RNAcentral's name for it is "partial 16S ribosomal RNA". It matches the Rfam family "Bacterial small subunit ribosomal RNA", at positions 28 to 507 of the family's 1533-position model. The record is from RNAcentral.
GAUGAACGCUGGCGGCGUGCCUAAUACAUGCAAGUCGAGCGAACAGACGAGGAGCUUGCUCCUUCGACGUUAGCGGCGGACGGGUGAGUAACACGUAGGUAACCUACCUAUAAGACUGGGAUAACUUCGGGAAACCGGAGCUAAUACCGGAUAAUAUUUCGAACCGCAUGGUUCGAUAGUGAAAGAUGGCUUUGCUAUCACUUAUAGAUGGACCUGCGCCGUAUUAGCUAGUUGGUAAGGUAACGGCUUACCAAGGCAACGAUACGUAGCCGACCUGAGAGAGGGAUCGGCCACACUGGAGCUGAGCCACGGACCAGACGCCUGCGGGAGGCAGCAGUAGGGAAUGUUACGCAAUGGGCGAGAGCCUGACGGAGCAACGCGGCGUGAGUGAUGAAGGUGUUCGGAGCGGAAAACUCUGUUAUUAGGGAAGAACAAACGUGUAAGUAACUGUGCACGUCUUGACGGUACCGAGUCAGAAAGCCCCGGCUAACUACGUG